RNAcentral lists this ribosomal RNA (390 nucleotides) under Triticum aestivum (bread wheat). RNAcentral's name for it is "partial small subunit ribosomal RNA". The record is from RNAcentral. Lineage: Eukaryota; Viridiplantae; Streptophyta; Magnoliopsida; Poales; Poaceae.
AUGCAGCAGCGGCAUCGGGAAGCGCGGGACUGCAGGCCAGCGUGCACGCGGGGCGAGGGGAGCAGGGCGCGGGGGCUACGGGCGGCUACGGCGACAGAUCGACGACGGUUAGCGGCGGCGUUCAACGGAUAUGUGUCUACGAGGCACAUGAACGAGCAAGAGAAGGGCAAGGAAGGCGAGGAGCUCACAGAGAGUGCGAGGUCGAGGUCGAGGAGGCUGGAAGAGGUCGAACGGCGACGAAUCGAUGGCGAGGUGCCGCGGCCGUGCGCGGAGAGGACUUCUCUAUGGCGGCGAUGCGGCGCCCCCCCGCUUGAGCUGCUGCUUGGAAUGGACGAGGAUGAGGCGGGCGAAGCUCCUCGACGUCUUCACGUGGCUCGGGAGGACCGGUGA